This 796-nucleotide ribosomal RNA is filed under the name Staphylococcus sp. 1131(2011). RNAcentral's name for it is "bacterial SSU rRNA". It matches the Rfam family "Bacterial small subunit ribosomal RNA", at positions 45 to 825 of the family's 1533-position model. The record is from RNAcentral. Lineage: Bacteria; Bacillati; Bacillota; Bacilli; Caryophanales; Staphylococcaceae.
UGCUAUACAUGCAAGUCGAGCGAACAGAUAAGGAGCUUGCUCCUUUGACGUUAGCGGCGGACGGGUGAGUAACACGUGGGUAACCUACCUAUAAGACUGGAAUAACUCCGGGAAACCGGGGCUAAUGCCGGAUAACAUAUAGAACCGCAUGGUUCUAUAGUGAAAGAUGGUUUUGCUAUCACUUAUAGAUGGACCCGCGCCGUAUUAGCUAGUUGGUAAGGUAAUGGCUUACCAAGGCGACGAUACGUAGCCGACCUGAGAGGGUGAUCGGCCACACUGGAACUGAGACACGGUCCAGACUCCUACGGGAGGCAGCAGUAGGGAAUCUUCCGCAAUGGGCGAAAGCCUGACGGAGCAACGCCGCGUGAGUGAUGAAGGGUUUCGGCUCGUAAAACUCUGUUAUUAGGGAAGAACAUAUGUGUAAGUAACUGUGCACAUCUUGACGGUACCUAAUCAGAAAGCCACGGCUAACUACGUGCCAGCAGCCGCGGUAAUACGUAGGUGGCAAGCGUUAUCCGGAAUUAUUGGGCGUAAAGCGCGCGUAGGCGGUUUCUUAAGUCUGAUGUGAAAGCCCACGGCUCAACCGUGGAGGGUCAUUGGAAACUGGGAAACUUGAGUGCAGAAGAGGAAAGUGGAAUUCCAUGUGUAGCGGUGAAAUGCGCAGAGAUAUGGAGGAACACCAGUGGCGAAGGCGACUUUCUGGUCUGUAACUGACGCUGAUGUGCGAAAGCGUGGGGAUCAAACAGGAUUAGAUACCCUGGUAGUCCACGCCGUAAACGAUGAGUGCUAAGUGUUA